CUGCUUUUUCAGGACUCAGAAUCCUCAAGCGAUGGCUGCCUAUACCAUUGGUUUCCCCUUGUCUCCAAGACAAGGAGCUUCCCCCCUUCCCAGAGUUCCCCAGGCCAUUUGGUGUCCAUGCAGAACAUGCUCACGAGGGGCAGUUUGAGAUUGCAAGGACAGUUCCUUGCCCCAUGCCAGCCACAUCCCUGCUGAGCUUCUCCCCAGUGUCUCCCAGGCCGUGCAGGAUGUGGGAACCCAGGACGCUACAGCCAGAGUGGGGGCAGCCACAGAUCCCACUGCAGCCAGGCAAUAAGAAGCAGUCAGGGCUUGGGAGUGUCUCAGUGCCCCUCAGCAGGACCAGUCAUGCCCCCAUUGCUGCCGGGGGCCGCCUGGAGCCAUCUCUCCAUCCACAACAUCGGCCGGGAUGGAGCACGGCCCUGGGUUGCCAUACCAACGCAGGUGCUAACGGGUGUUGACUAACUGUGAGCUGAUCGGAUCAGAGAAUGGUAGGGCUGAGUUGCCAUGGCAACCGAGAUGCCAAAUUGGAAAUGGUGUCGAUAGCAAAGGUACUCAAGAGGUGGCAAGUGUGCGCAGGGGGCAGUGCCCGGCCGGAGGCUGCAAGCACCCCAGUGGGCGUCUACCUGCCCAGGCCACCCACGGCUCCUCCUCCUGGGGUGGUGGGAUGGUUCAGGGCACUGCAGCAGCUUGGCUGUAUCCCACGUGCCAGCCCCAGGUCCUCCAUUUCAUGGGGCACAGCUCCCCUGCUUCCUUCUUCCCUCUCCUCCUCCUCUGCUGUCCUGGCAGACACGGCCAGGAGUCAGUGCUGCUCACUGUGGCAAUCCCCAAAGGAUUCGGUUCCCCAGCCCAGGGGUGCAGGGCACGUGCCUGGAGGGAUGAUUCCACCCACAAGCAUCAUUCAAGCCACUCUCCCAGACACUGAGGAAAAUGCCUUUGGGGCACAGCCUAUUUCUAAUGUGAUUUUUCAUCAUCUCACCUAGUCUACAGUCCAAAAAUCACAAUGAAAGGGCUUCUGUGUCUCCACAAAAUGCAAAAUCUUUAACGGCUCAUUGGCAUGUGCUUAAGUUGGCCUGGAUAAGAAGUUACUCCUGAGAACCUGCUAUUGAUUCUGUCAGGGAUUCAAAGGUUUUAUAGGCAUCGCUCAGGAUCUCUUUAGUACUUGUACCUUCUUAAUGGCUCUCAUCACUGACAGAACUGGAAACAUCCCCCAGUGCCCUGGGAAGCAGCUGACUCCAUGCCAGGAGCUGAUGCCAUGCUGCUGCCCAGGAGGGUGUCUGCCCUCCCGGCCAGCUGGGUGAGCCUCCUGGGCACCCUGGAGGGAAGGUCCUUCCAUGGCUCCUCCAGGGUCUUUUAGGAGGUGGGGCAGACACUGGGGCUAGGGAAAGGGGUGGGCAAACUGCACCCGGGAAGGCUCCUCUCCUCCUACCACUAUGCAACAAAAUCAGUGGGCAGGUGGCUGAGUAGCAGACAGAAAUAUAAACAUGCUCUGAUUUCACUGGGACCAUCUGGCUCAGGCAUGAUAGGCGGGUAGGGAUGCUAUAAUCAUGGACAGAGAACUAAGCUGAUCCAUUAAAGUCUUUUAGCAGAAGCAACUAUGGAACCUGUAUUAAUCCAACAAUGCUUUGUGAACAGACAUCACAAGGUUAGAUCCAUUCAGCUGCAAUUAAAACCAACCCUCACUGAUCAGGCUGGCUGGGAGAGCUGUUGCAGCAUUGUGUUCCCCAAGGCUCUCAUGAGUAUAGACUGUUGAUGCUCACACAAUGCAAUCUGAAAUUAUGAUCUAAAUGCUAAAUCUUGCUUUCUUCUGUUCUUUCCCCAAGUGGAUCUCCUCUGGGACAUGGCUGUUGCCUUGUGCCAAAAUCCUUUGCCUAUCUGACUGCAUGGCUCUCAUACAAAUUGGACAGGCUCAGUUAUAGCAAAGCAGCCCUAGUCUGAGCUUCUUGCACAGCGCUGGAACGAGGACUUACGGGCAGGCAGUGGUGUCCUGCCUCCUCUCACUGAGGAUGUUCAAGUCAAGUCCCCAGGCCCCUGCAGCUACAAUGGGCCUGCGUUACAUGAAAUGCCCACGCACGUGCCAUCUCUGCUCGCAGGACAGAAAUCCUCUCUGAAACGUGCAGUCCAGUGCACCUUGUUGGCAGCAGUCAUUGCAGACCUUCACCUCCCACUCCCUUGGGAUUUCUGAUCUGGAAACUCUGCCAGUACACAGCAUGAUGAGCCCCUCAUCGCCAGCUGUGUCCUCCUACCCCAAGCACAGUGGCAGGAACCCGCAUGGACACCCGUGCAGGAGAGCUCCCGUCCAGCUUGGCCUUGCUGGUUGCUAACUGAUGCCCGUGGAAGUUUCAAAGACUGUCAACAACACAGCCCACAGUAUUGCAGGCUGUGCUUCCUGGAACAGUCAGCUGGAUUUGGGAAAGCUACAGGUGAGCAGGAGAGCUGUGUGCACACCAUGCAUCUGAUGUUAAACACGGAUCAGGCUCAUCUGGGCAUUUCAAACCUACUCCAGUUUCCCAAAGAUGUGCCUUUCCUGGGAGGGAAGGCCAUGAAAAUAGAAUAUUAAAAUGUAGUGGUUUGGA
Molecule: long non-coding RNA, 2573 nt
Organism: Pipra filicauda (Wire-tailed manakin)
Lineage: Eukaryota; Metazoa; Chordata; Aves; Passeriformes; Pipridae
Exons: 3
Source: RefSeq, a predicted model, not a curated record